RNAcentral lists this ribosomal RNA (884 nucleotides) under Enterobacter sp. enrichment culture clone BDUEBT VRMK 2. RNAcentral's name for it is "bacterial SSU rRNA". It matches the Rfam family "Bacterial small subunit ribosomal RNA", at positions 48 to 923 of the family's 1533-position model. Lineage: Bacteria; Pseudomonadati; Pseudomonadota; Gammaproteobacteria; Enterobacterales; Enterobacteriaceae. The record is from RNAcentral.
CCUACACAUGCAAGUCGAGCGGUCGCACAAAGAGCUUGCUCUUUGGUGACUAGCGGCGGACGGGUGAGUAAUGUCUGGAAAACUGCCUGAUGGAGGGGGAUAACUACUGGAAAAGGUAACUAAUACCGCAAAACGUCGCAGAACCAAAGGGGGGGACCUUCAGGCCUCAUGCCAUCGUAUGUGCCCAAAUGGGAUUAGCUAGUAUGUGGGGUAAUGGCUCACCUAGGCUACCAUCCCUAGCUGGUCUGAGAGAAUGACCAGCCACAUUGGAACUGAUACACGGUCCACACUCCUACGGGAGGCAGCAGUGGGGAAUAUUGCACAAUGGGCGCAAGCCUGAUGCACCCAUGCCGCGUGUAUGAAGAAGGCCUUCGGGUUGUAAAGUACUUUCAGCGAGGAGGAAGGCAUUAAGGUUAAUAACCUUGAAGAUUGACGUUACUCGCAGAACAAGCACCGGCUAACUCCGUGCCAGCAGCCGCGGUAAUACGGAGGGUGCAAGCGUGAAUCGGAAUUACUGGACGUAAAGCGCACGCAGGCGGUCUGUCAAGUCUGAUGUGAAAUCCCCGGGCUCAACCUGCGAACUGCAUUCGAAACUGUGAGGCUAGAGUCUUGUAGAGGGGGGUAGAAUUCCUGGUGUACCGUUGAAAUGCGUAAAGAUCUCGAAGAAUACCAGUGGCGCAAGCGGCCCCCUGGACUUUCACUGACGCUCAUGUGCCUAAUCUUGGGGAGCAUACAGGAUUAGAUACCCUGGUUAUCCACGCCGUAAACGAUGUCAACUUGGAGGUUGUGCCUUGAAGGCGUUGCUUCCGGAGCUAACGCGCUAAGUCGACCACUGGGCGAGUACGGCCGCAGAGUUAAGACUCGAAUGAAUUGACGGGAGCUCG